RNAcentral lists this ribosomal RNA (400 nucleotides) under bacterium M7A-319-16S. RNAcentral describes it as "bacterial SSU rRNA". It matches the Rfam family "Bacterial small subunit ribosomal RNA", at positions 62 to 510 of the family's 1533-position model. The record is from RNAcentral.
UCGAGCGCCCCGCAAGGGGAGCGGCAGACGGGUGAGUAACGCGUGGGAAUCUACCCUUUUCUACGGAAUAACGCAGGGAAACUUGUGCUAAUACCGUAUGAGCCCUUCGGGGGAAAGAUUUAUCGGGAAAGGAUGAGCCCGCGUUGGAUUAGCUAGUUGGUGGGGUAAAGGCCUACCAAGGCGACGAUCCAUAGCUGGUCUGAGAGGAUGAUCAGCCACAUUGGGACUGAGACACGGCCCAAACUCCUACGGGAGGCAGCAGUGGGGAAUAUUGGACAAUGGGCGCAAGCCUGAUCCAGCCAUGCCGCGUGAGUGAUGAAGGCCCUAGGGUUGUAAAGCUCUUUCACCGGUGAAGAUAAUGACGGUAACCGGAGAAGAAGCCCCGGCUAACUUCGUGCCA